UUAUUGCAAUUAUUAAUCUUGAACGAGGAAUGCCUAGUAAGCAUGAUUCAUCAGAUUGUGCUGACUACGUCCCUGCCCUUUGUACACACCGCCCGUCGCUCCUACCGAUUGAAAGAUAUGAUGAAUUGUUUGGACAAGAAAAGAGGAAAUUAUAUUUUCUUUUUUCUGGAAAAACCGUAAAUCCUAUCUUUUAAAGGAAGGAGAAGUCGUAACAAGGUUUCCGUAGGUGAACCUGCGGAAGGAUCAUUA
This is a non-coding RNA of Plasmodium ovale wallikeri, 249 nucleotides long. The record is from Rfam. NCBI's taxonomy places the organism in Eukaryota, Apicomplexa, Aconoidasida, Haemosporida, Plasmodiidae.